This 1133-nucleotide long non-coding RNA is filed under the name Cavia porcellus (domestic guinea pig). RNAcentral's name for it is "lncRNA (ENSCPOG00000039721.1)". Lineage: Eukaryota; Metazoa; Chordata; Mammalia; Rodentia; Caviidae. The record is from RNAcentral.
AUUCAAUUCAUUUGAAAAUACAUUCAAAGCAGUUAUUGUCAUUAAAGUCAAAUAAUGUCAAUUAAUCUUUCUCAUUUUCAUGUAAACAAAAAACCCCAUAUUCUCAAUAGUUUGUGCUGAGAGUCUGUUGACCAAGAUGGCACCUACUAGGGACCCAGAGCUGUCUCCCUUCUGUCACAGAUUAUAGACAUAAUAAUAACCAAUGUUAUGUCUGUAAAUAACUUUGUGCUCAAAUGUACUUUACUGCUGACUCCAGUGUUCACCGAAUGCCUACGAGACAUACCCACCCAAGCAAGUUUUUCUAUUCUAGAACUUACGAGCUCUUCCUGAACGGCGGGACCCCCUAUGAGAAAGGCGUGGAAGUGGACCCUUCCGUGUCCAGGAGAGCACACAGCAGUGUUUUCCAUCAGAUGCUGACCAUGCGAAGGCAGCCUCAACUUCUGGUGAAACUGAGGUCUCUGAACCAAAGAUCGAGAAACAUCCUGAGCUUCCUGCCAGAAACCUUGGUUGGAAGUAUGUGCUGCUCCCACCUGCUGGUAUUUUAUCGGCAGAUUCUUGGAGAUGCGCUGCUGAAAGACAGGACGAACUCACAGAAGGCUGAGCUCAUCAGUCACCCAAUGCUGGCCUCCUUCCCCCAGCUCCUGGAGCAGCCUGAAGUGAUGGACGCGCUAAGGAGUUCAUGGGCUGAGAAAGAAAGCACACUGAAAAGAUCAGAGAAGGUAAUACGAUUUUUCAUGUGGGACUUUCUGUAGUGCUAUGGUUGCGUGCAUGUUCUUUAGCUAAAAAGUCAUAGCCCCGCUUACUCAGGUAGCUGUGCUAUUUCGGUUUCAAAGACAUAUUCUAAGAAGGGUGUGCAUGGCCUCCAGAAUGUCAUUUCAGGUCACUGAGGUUUAUUUAAAUGAAGGGGGAAUUUCUAAACCAGAGUCUCCAGCUGGCUAUCCCAUAUCCCUGAUUUCAAAAAAAAUUUUCCCUCCAGCUGCCAACAACUAAAUCACAUGGGGACAAGGAAAGAUGAGUUUGGCCUGGGCUGUGUCCCAUACUCACAAGUGCCUGGGUCCGCUCGUGUCACUUAGAAGAACUGUGAUUAUCACAGAAGUCGCAUGGAUCUGUGAGCAGCGGUUCAACUGCGCUGA